RNAcentral lists this long non-coding RNA (333 nucleotides) under Musa acuminata (dwarf banana). RNAcentral describes it as "long non-coding RNA (MACU_LNC008386)". The record is from RNAcentral. Lineage: Eukaryota; Viridiplantae; Streptophyta; Magnoliopsida; Zingiberales; Musaceae.
CGCUUGGCAUCUCCUUCUCCUCCGAAGUGAAGCCGCUUGUCGCUCCUCGCACCCCCGCUCUCAGUGCGAGGGCCCAUGGCGCCGCCCAAGAACAAGGGCGACGAGAAGAUCCUUAGCUACCUCGACGUGGUUAUGAGGCGAUCCGACCUCGACAUCCUCCGCGGCCCCCAUUACCUCAACGACCGCAUCAUCGAGUUCUACUUCGCCCACCUCGCCUCCCUCUGCCCCUCCCCGCGCGCCCUCCUCCUCCCGCCCUCCAUCUCCUUCUGGCUCGCCAACUGCCACGACCCCCAAUCCCUCCGCCAGUUCGCCGACCCCCUCCGCCUCCCCGAU